GCUGGUAUAGCUCAGUGGUUGAGUUCUUGCCUAGCAUGUAUAAGGCCCUGGAUUCAGUUCCCAGCA
RNAcentral lists this transfer RNA (66 nucleotides) under Marmota monax (woodchuck). RNAcentral describes it as "tRNA.Ala". Lineage: Eukaryota; Metazoa; Chordata; Mammalia; Rodentia; Sciuridae. The record is from RNAcentral.